Passer montanus (Eurasian tree sparrow) is the source of this 3541-nucleotide RNA transcript. It is a transcript of the gene named CUE domain containing 1, with no coding region annotated. The record is from RefSeq and is a predicted model, not a curated record. NCBI's taxonomy places the organism in Eukaryota, Metazoa, Chordata, Aves, Passeriformes, Passeridae. The transcript is spliced from 11 exons.
GUGGGAGGAUGCAGCCGUGCGCCGGGGGCUGACGCGCGGAGCCGCCGGCCGCGGGGAGCGGGACCCCCGCCGCCCACCCAUGGUCCCGGCUGGCAGCCGGGGCAGCCCCCCGUGAGGAGGGGCACGGGCACGGCCGGGACGCGGGCAGCGAGCCCCCGCAGCCAUGACGAGCCUGUUCCGCCGGAGCAGCAGCGGCGGCGGCUCCCGCGGCGGCUCCUCCGCCCAGGAGCUCAACAACAGCCGCCCCGCCAGGCAGGUGCGGCGCCUGGAGUUCAACCAGGCCAUGGAGGACUUCAAGACCAUGUUCCCCAACAUGGACUACGACAUCAUCGAGUGCGUCUUGAGAGCCAACAACGGCGCCGUGGACGCCACCAUCGACCAGCUGCUGCAGAUGAACCUGGACGGCAGCGGCUGUGACGACAGCUCGGACUCGGAGGACAGCAUCCCCCCCGAGAUCUUGGAGCGGACCCUGGAGCCGGACAGCUCGGACGAGGAGCCCCCUCCUGUGUACUCCCCUCCUGCCUACGAGAGCCAGGCCUUGGGCAGCCGCUACCCCCGCGCCCCACCCACGCCCCCGCCCAGGACGGACGUGCCCGGCCCUGGCAGCUCCGUGCACUACAGGAACUGGAACCCGCCGCUGCUGGGCAACCUCCCUGAGGACUUCCUGCGCAUCCUGCCCCAGCAGACAGCUGGCACACAGGGCUCCCCCGGGUGCCGGCAGCCCGUGCCACGGGGGCUGGUGCCACGGGGCCAGGGCUCGCUGGAGCAGGAGCGCCGAUGGAAGCAGUACCUGGAGGACGAGCGGAUCGCGCUCUUCCUGCAGAACGAGGAGUUCAUGAAGGAGCUCCAGAGGAACCGGGAUUUCCUUCUCGCCCUGGAGAGAGAUCGAUUGAAAUAUGAGUCAAAAAAAUCCAAGUCGACUGGUGUUGCUGUCAGCAACGACUUUGGUUUCUCCUCCAUAUUAUCAGGUGAGGGAGCUCCCUCUGGACCCAGCGAGGCCGGGGCCGUGUCCGACGAUGCCUUAUUCCGAGACAAGCUCAAACACAUGGGGAAGUCCACGCGCAAGAAGCUGUUUGAACUCGCCAGAGCCUUCUCCGAGAAGACGAAGAUGAGGAAAUCAAAAAGAAAACACUUGUUGAAGCACCAGGUGAUGGGGACAGCGGCUUCCACGGCAAAUCUCCUCGAUGACGUGGAGGGACAUGCAUAUGAUGAAGAUUUCCAAGCACGGCGGCAGCAGCUCCGGGAGGAGGAGGAGACGCCGAAGGAAGGGCAGUAACCGGUCCCAGCUCUGGGGUUUCUUGCUGGCACAGGACGUGCACGAGGCUUCAUCAGGAGAUGGCUGAAAAAGGAAAAACCCACCCAACAAAUCACACAGAUUUUGGCUGUUCCCCCUCUGCUGCUGUACUCCUCUGAAGUACAAGUAUCGAAGUGAGGCACGACGUUUUCUUACCGGUGGUUUGAAAACAACUUUUCCUAUGGAGAAAAUCAGCCAAAAAGGAAAAAAAAAAAGGAAAAAACAAGCGGGCAGCUGCUGCGAGCGGCUGCGGAGGAGGCAGCGAGCUCAGGCUGGGGAGGGCAGCCCCGCCUGCCCCUCAGCUGGCGGCACAGGAGGGAUGAAAUCAGCCGUACUAACGAGGAUCCAGUCCCACGGGGGCCUGCCUGGCCGGAGCACUCCUGAACAUAUCUGUAGUGGUCUGAUGUAACUUCACUCUGCGCACACCGGGACAAAAACCACGUGGGAAAGGGAAGCUAACAGCCGUUGUCUAUUAUUGCUAGGAGUAAUGAGCAGAGGUUCAGAUCAGGCGCUGGCUCCCGGCAGGCUCCUUCAGUCCCAGCGGAGCCCGCGUGCCUUUGAAGUGGACGCCAAGAUUUCCAGAUUUCCUCUCCCGGCAGCGCUGCAGCUGCUGCACCUGUUGAGCGCUGCUGUCGUCCCCUCCAGCCCUGCUGGGGAUGGGAGCAUCCCCUCAGCUUCACUUUCUCCUGGUUCCUGGCCAGGAGCAGGGCUGCUUCCAGGUGUCUGGGGCUGCAGGCUCUGUGUGGUGUCUCUGUAGCACAAAACUCCUGCAGCACCGGCGCUCAGACGAGUUCUGGGGUGCCGAGGGCCAGGGCAGGUGCAGUGGGCUGGGAACACCCUGGGAUGCCAGCAAGCUUUGGGCUCCUAAAAUAAAUCAAAGCAGCAGAAUUCCCACCCCAGCCAGCCCGUACCAGUUUUGGUGUCCUCUCCUUUGCUUUUGAAGACUGAAGAGCAAUCCUGAGUCGCGGCAGCACAGUGACAGGUUAAAGCCACCCCAAGCCACGCUGGUGUCCCACACCGUGGGCAGCACCCCUGCUCCUGUGGUGUGCACAACUGCCAGGAGUGCUGCAAGGCACAGGAUGCCCCGGGCUGCCCUGCCCAGGGCAGGAUGGAGCUCUGGAGGAGCACCUGGCUCAGGGUGCAGGGAAUCAGGGAACGGAAAAUCCUUUAGUCCCUGGGUGGGAUUUCCAUUCUGAGAGAGCUGAGGAGAAGGAGGGGCUCCUGGCCUGCCCUCGCUGGCCCUGGGGGCCCUGCGAGGCUGCCGUUCCUGCUUCCCAGUCCAAAGCAGCUCUGCAUAUUUGGAAGAAAAUCAAACUUGGAAGCGGAUCAGCCCGUCACCAUUCCAGCGCCUCUCCGCCACGGCGGGCUGUGGUGCCAGGGAAGUUUCCAUGAGCGCAGGAAGCACCGGCAGGGAAUUCUGCAAUCCCGGAGCCGGGCUGGCCCCAGGGCCGGGCUGGGCACGGGCUGGCUCCUGGGGAUGGGUUGUGCUUCCCUGGGGAGGCUGGCACACGGCCACAGGGCAGUGCUGUGCCCCGCUGCCUUCGGGGCAAAGAGGGGGACACUGUCCCUGCCCCCAGGGUGCUCCUUUAGGGACACCUGGGUCACACCUGGGUCACCUCUGGGAGCCAGCCCAGGUGUGCUGGCUCUGCUUUCUGCCUGAGCUCGUCCCCUCUGCUCCCACUGAGAGAGGGACAGCAAGGAAGGGCAGCCGGGGCUGGGAGCUGGGGAGGGGACAGGCAGGACAGGUGGGUGGCAGUGCCCAGCCCUGCUGGCUCUGACCCCGCUGGGGUCCUGCACCAAAUCUCCAUGGUCACCACAGGGCUCUGGGCACGGCUUGGCCACCACCACCCCCCAACAAGUUGCCCCUAAACAUCCCAGGCCAGGCACAGCCUCUGGGUGAUGUCACUCUGUGCCCAUGUCAAAAUAUCCUGGAGGCACCAAGCAUCUUUUUAAUGGAAAUGGAGAGGGGUUUUUGUGUCCUGUAAAAAAAUAAAAACCAGGUCUACGGAGUGCAAAGGCCACAAACCUGGCUUGGGAGCCAAAAUGCAUUUCUUACGUAAAAAUGUACAAUUCUCAGUGAUGUUUGUAUCGUUUCUCUACAUUACAGAAAGCUUUCGAAAGAACAAACUGAUCUGUGGUGUGUGUGAGUGUGGCUAUUUUAGAAUUUAUUUCCAUAAGUGAUUUUUUUCUUAAAGAUGUUUAAUAGUAAUUCCUAUAAUAAAGUCCUGUUGUACUCUUCACGCUGUA